RNAcentral lists this long non-coding RNA (387 nucleotides) under Mytilus galloprovincialis (Mediterranean mussel). The record is from RNAcentral. Lineage: Eukaryota; Metazoa; Mollusca; Bivalvia; Mytilida; Mytilidae.
CUUAGAUGCAUGAUUUUUUUUAUUAGUUGUUAGUGGCUUUGAACUAGCUGUCAGAUAACUGCGAGUACUCUCAGAUCUGUUCAUUGCGUCUUUUUGUGUCGGGAUGUAUAAGUACCAGGCCACGUCUACUUGUAUUUUUGUCCAUCUGAUGAGUUAAGCCUUUUUCAACUGAUUUUUAUAGUUCGUUCUUAUGUUGUACUGUUAUACCACUGUCCCAGGUUAGGGGGAGGGUUGGGAUCCCGCUAACAUGUUUAACCCCGCCACAUUAUUUAUGUAUGUGUCUGUCCCAAGUCAGGAGCCUGUAAUUCAGUGGUUGGCGUUUGUUUAUGUGUUACAUAUUUGUUUUUCGUUCAUUUUUUACAUAAAUAAGGCCGUUAGUUUUCUCGU